AGGCCAAAAUCUGCCCUCCAGAAGCUUUAUAACCCCAAUCCUUACUUCUCCAAGACUUGAAAACAUUUAAUUCAAGAUCACUGUGCCCAAGACGGCCUCCAACCUUCCCAUCACCAAGUCCUUCUCUAUUUAUGAGCAAAAGUUCAUCACUGCCUACCUGAAAAAUCAGUAAUGGGGAAUAAUCCAAGAGCCAAUUCUUUUAGUUUUUUCCCCAGGGGCUCUUUUUGGAGAGCUGCUCCUUUGGGGUCUCUGUUCUGUUGUUUUUGAGGGGCUUUUUGGUGGGGGAUGUGCCUUUUUUGUGUCCUUUUAUUUUUUUGAGGGGCUGCCCUAUUUUGUUUGGAUUCUACCUAUUUUUGAGGGGUUCUUUUUUGAGUGCUGCCCUUUGUUGGAAAGAGUUUUUCCCUUUUUUUGGGGGGCAGGGCUCUUUUUUUGAGGGAAUUGCCCUUUUGGGGUCUUUUUUUCUGAGGAGGACCUCUUUCUGCAUGGCCACCUUCUUUUUUAUUAUUAUUAUUAGUCUUUAAUUUUUAAGCAGGUCUUUUGGGGGAGUGCCCUUUUUUUUUUUCAGUCGGGUGCCAGCCUUUUGGGGCACUUUUCUUUCCCUUUCUUUUUCUUUCUUUCUUUCUUUCUUUUCUUUCUUUCUUUCGUUUGUUUUUGAGGGGGUCUUUUUUGGGGGCAGCCUUUUUUUAUUAUUAUUUUUUUUUUAUUUGGGCUGGGCCUUUUUUCUUAUAUUUGGUCAGGUUUCUGGAUUUUUAUUUAUUUAUUUAUUUUUGAUUGUUGAUGGUGGUCCAGCCUUUUGGAGGUUAGGGUUUGGGGAGAUCUUGUUGGUCUUCCAUUUUUCAGGUGGGAUGUCUUCAUCAGGGUCCCAACCUUCUGGGGGUUGGGUAUUUUUGAGGGGAACUAUUCUGGUCUGGUCAGACAUUUUUGGGGGGCUUCAUUUUUGAGGAACAGUCUCACACAAGCUGUUUAUUUCUUUGGUUUGUAUGCCUGUUUUGUGAUUUUAUUUUUUAUUUUUUAUUGUUUUUCCUGCAGGGGAACCAGCCUUUUUUUGUUAAGAUUUUUUGGCAGAUUUGUCAGAUUUUUUGUUUUUUCUUUUCCAGGAUGGGUCAAAAUCUAUUUUAUUUUUUUUUUUGUUAGUUGUUGGUGUUGCUUUUUUUGUUUGUUUGUUUUUACUUCUUUAACUAAUGAAAGCAGUCUUUCUUGGACUUACCUUUCUUCUUUUCACAUUGGCACCUGCAUUAUUUGGCCUGAACUGCUCAAUACAGAACUUACUUUCUUUUUUUUCCCACCUUUGUAACUGCCCAUCACAGUUAUAGAUCAAAGCAGUUCUUCCCAACACAAGAAAUGUCCUCCCUGGACAGGCAGAUGAGCACGGGCUUGUCUGAACUUCAUUCCUAAUUCAAGUUUACAUACGAAUAUGUUCAGAAACCACUUACUCUGAAAACCAAGAACGAUACAGUGGAAAAAGCUCUCCUCACACUACGCACAACCGAGAACUGUAGCAACCCCACCUGCCAGUGAAGCUGGUUUAUUCCCAGCAAGUUCAGCAGAACUUGCAACACAGGUAGUCUAUAAAAUCAGAAGCAGAUUUUGUAUUGCAGCAGGUAAAAUGGAAGGCUGUAAAGACAUCUCAUGGCACUUGCAGUUAAAUAAGAACUGAACUAUUGCAGUCAAAUAUUGUACUCUUCUGAAAACAGUAAAAGCCCGAAGCUUUGGUAGUACCUAUCCUCCUUUAGAAAAAUAAAAAUUGUUUUCAACCUCUGACA
RNAcentral lists this long non-coding RNA (1763 nucleotides) under Anas platyrhynchos platyrhynchos (common mallard). RNAcentral describes it as "lncRNA (ENSAPLG00000027302.1)". Lineage: Eukaryota; Metazoa; Chordata; Aves; Anseriformes; Anatidae. The record is from RNAcentral.